UCUUCCCGCCUAAUUCAAACACAAUCUCUCUCUAAUUGCCCUAAUCUUCAUCCUCAUUUCCAUCAUUGUUCUUCAAUCAACAGCUCUGCUAAACCCUAAAGAUUACAAUCCUUUGGCGCCGAGUUCUAAUGGCUUCACAGUCCCUCCAAAUUCAUCUUUUCCGAUUUCCCCCGCCGCUCCGCCUCCGUCGAAUUCUCUAGUCCCCGCCGUUUUCAUCAUCGGCGACUCUACAUGCGAGUGCGGCACCAAAAAUUUACUUGGUACCUUCGCUCGCGCCCAUCACCUUCCCUAUUGUCGAGAUUUCGACUGGAAGGUUUUGUAAUGGAAGAAUACCCGUCGAUUUUCCUGGUCUGAUCUCUGUUUUUUGUUCACUCCGUCUGGUGAUUUCUGAAUUUCCGAUUUGAUCUUUUAUUUCUCUUUCGUUUUAAAUUUCUGGAUGGUCAUUUCGCCCUGCGUCUUGGACUUCCUUUUGUUCAGAGUUAUCUUUGGCAUGCCGGAACGUGGAAGAUAUGAUUUAAGGAGUGAAUUAUGCAUCAGCUAGUGCUAGAGUUAUCUUCACUAGUGGAUCGGAAUUGACAAUGUGUGGAAUGACCUCCAUACAACAAUGUACUAUCCUAAGAACUUGAAGGAGGUGAUAACUCUCA
Non-coding RNA from Cucurbita pepo subsp. pepo (vegetable marrow), 644 nucleotides. Lineage: Eukaryota; Viridiplantae; Streptophyta; Magnoliopsida; Cucurbitales; Cucurbitaceae. The record is from RefSeq and is a predicted model, not a curated record.